GUCUAUGGCCAUGCCACCUUGAACAAGCCGGAUCCCGUCUGAUCUCAGAAGCUAAGCAGGAUCGGGCCUGGUUAGUACUUGGAUGGAAGACCACCAGGAAGACCAGGUGCUGUAGGCA
Molecule: ribosomal RNA, 118 nt
Filed under: Pteropus alecto (black flying fox)
Lineage: Eukaryota; Metazoa; Chordata; Mammalia; Chiroptera; Pteropodidae
Source: RNAcentral